RNAcentral lists this ribosomal RNA (472 nucleotides) under uncultured bacterium. RNAcentral describes it as "bacterial SSU rRNA". It matches the Rfam family "Bacterial small subunit ribosomal RNA", at positions 355 to 825 of the family's 1533-position model. The record is from RNAcentral.
UGGGGAAUUUUGGACAAUGGGCGAAAGCCUGAUUCAGCAAUGCCGCGUGAGUGAAGAAGGCCUUCGGGUUGUAAAGCUCUUUUGUCAGGGAAGAAACGGUGAGAGCUAAUAUCUCUUGCUAAUGACGGUACCUGAAGAAUAAGCACCGGCUAACUACGUGCCAGCAGCCGCGGUAAUACGUAGGGUGCAAGCGUUAAUCGGAAUUACUGGGCGUAAAGCGUGCGCAGGCGGUUUUGUAAGUCUGAUGUGAAAUCCCCGGGCUCAACCUGGGAAUUGCAUUGGAGACUGCAAGGCUAGAAUCUGGCAGAGGGGGGUAGAAUUCCACGUGUAGCAGUGAAAUGCGUAGAUAUGUGGAGGAACACCGAUGGCGAAGGCAGCCCCCUGGGUCAAGAUUGACGCUCAUGCACGAAAGCGUGGGGAGCAAACAGGAUUAGAUACCCAAGUAGUCCCUGAGCGGGCUGGCAAGGCGCAU